AUUUUAUUUUAAAAAGAAUGAAUUUACAUACAGUACAUGAGCAAGACAGCCGAAGGCUCCCAAAAUAGAAACCCGGAGCAUUUGGGCCCGAAACAGCACAUGCUUUGGUUACACUCGGGAAGCACGAGUCGCCCACUGCGGGGAGAAGAUGCCGUGUCACCCGGCGACCAGCAGGCAUGUUGGUACAGGGAUUCCGGGCACCGCCACUCAGGGGUUUUCAGCUCAGGGUCCCCUCUGUGUGUCCUUCCGCACCUGCUGUGGCGCCGCAGGUCGGGGGCAAAACCAGCGUGGGGGCGGCCGGUUAGAAGGCUGCUGGGGCGGGCAGGCCCCGGGGCGCUGGGAGCAGGAAUGUUCCAGACAGUGCGCCUUCUGGUGGGCUCCUGGAGGCGCCCGUCAUCCGAGGGCAUUGGGGUCACGGCUUGCACACGCAGGCCUGGCCAGGCCGCAGGCCCUACACACAUGCUGGACGCACCGCGGGGAGCUUGGCUUGCAGAUUCUUCAUCUCCCGGGCUGCACUGGGGCCGCACUGGGGCCGCGCUGGGGCUCCGUCCAGGCUGCGGCUGUACCGGCAGGGGGCAGUCUCUCCCAGGGAGAGAAACCCUAAUGGUCCCAAGGCAGCGGAGGGGCGGGUGGCCUAGGUCUCCGUGUGGAAGGGACAGGCCUGGGGUGGGGCCUGGGGCGUGGGAGGUGCGUGCAGGGCCGGCCAGCAGAGGCCAGCCGCCUCACUCCAGGCCGCAGAGACUAAAAUCGUCCUCAUGGACGGAUACCUCUUUCUCCAGGUGCAAAACAACACACUUCUUUAAAAAGCGACCAACCACGACAGCAUGAUCCACGGCUAAGGCCAAUGUCCUCAGUCCAACCCUGCGAGUUCGUGUAAAUGCAGCCUUAAGUACAUUCACAUAAAGACGAUACUACGGCCGAUGGCUGUCCCGUCGUGGGGACUUAAAGGACAGCAUUAAAAAUCACACACACGCUUGCAGGAACCGCCAACGCCCGCUGCUGUGACAGUUACAGCCCCUCCUCUCAAAAGAUUGAGGUGGGAAGACCCCAUCCUUUCACCCAUUGGCCUCAGAAAAAUCAACAGAGGUCAUUCUUGUGGGAAUAUCAUCAGGGCUGCCGGGGAGGGGCCUCACCCGCCGCUGGGGUGGGGGUGGGG
This 1156-nucleotide long non-coding RNA is filed under the name Canis lupus dingo (dingo). Its description in RNAcentral is "lncRNA (ENSCAFG00020026804.1)". Lineage: Eukaryota; Metazoa; Chordata; Mammalia; Carnivora; Canidae. The record is from RNAcentral.